RNAcentral lists this long non-coding RNA (3653 nucleotides) under Populus trichocarpa (black cottonwood). RNAcentral's name for it is "long non-coding RNA (PTRI_LNC003975)". Lineage: Eukaryota; Viridiplantae; Streptophyta; Magnoliopsida; Malpighiales; Salicaceae. The record is from RNAcentral.
GAGACCAUUUGUUUUGUCCCAUUUUCUUCAUUUUCUCUUCAUUUCUUCAAGCUAAAUCAAAAGGGAGUGUUCUUAGGAGGAUUAUAUCCAAGAAAACAAAUUAAGUGACAACUGAGAGAGUUAUAGAGCUUGAGAGAAACAAAGGGAAGAAGCUGGAAAUUGGAAGAGGAGGACAUGAUUUUUGUAAAUUUUUGCAAGAAUUCAUUGAAAUAAGUUAAAGUAGCAAAGGUAAGCAACAUACCCUUUAGUAAUUUCGUUUUUCUCUCUUGUUCUUGCAUGAGGAGAAGAAAACCUCCAAGUUUAAAAUUCUAGGGUUCAUGUAACUAUUUUGGGGGAGUAAUUGUUCUUGUGAAUUUUGAGAUUAAUUGCAUGAUAAUGGCUUGAUUUGCUGAAAAAUAGAAGGAAUAAAUUGAUUUGAAAUUAUGAGUUUUGGGAUUGCAACAGGGCAAGAACUUCGGCAGCCAUAUGUUGACUUUCCACCGUUGGAUUAGAUUGAUUUUUGGAUAUGUUAUUGUACUCAAUGUUACCGAUAUUCUGACCGGAGGGAUUGUAAAUAGCUAACUUCGUUUGAGGGCUGUCACCGGAGGAACAUUUCUGGAAAAUCACCCUUCAAGACAGCCUUGUUCGUCGGACGUUAUAUCAUUGUUUCACUGUUGGAUUGGUCUGGAUUUUGGAUAUGUUGUUCAUCCAGAUGUUACAUAAAUGCUGAACGGUUAAGAUCGGAAACAAACACUCCUACCAAAAACUGUACUUCCCGAACAGUAGGUCUUCAAUUUUUAGGUCAGUCCGGUAUUGUUCUGAUAUCGGGAGAUUUAACCGUUGGAUGUAUGUGAAUUUUGGAUAUGUUAUUCUAAUGAUGAUGAUGUAUAAUUACACCAUUUGGAUAUAUUGAAUUCUAAAUUUACAGAAUGAUGUUUUAAGUUUGGUUUGAGAAAUAUUGAAUGAGAAUCUGAGGUUUAGCAUAAAAAGUAUGUUUUGGGACUAAGGAUAAUGGCAAUGGGUUUAAUGAUGAUGGUUGUGUUUGUGUUGUGUUUGAGUCAUGUUUGUUGUGUUGAUAAGUGAUGGUAUAGUUAAAUUCUAUAAAGAAUAGUGAUUGAUUAAUACUUUGGUUGUGUUGGAAUGGGAAAUCAUGGUAAGGGAUGUUGUAAGUUGAAUUAUGAUAUAAGGAAUCAUUUUGAGUGCGCUUUGGAAAAAUUUGGCAUGUGUAGUCAUUGAUGAAAUUUAAGUUAAAUUACAUUGUUUGGUGAUAGAUUAAAUGUCUUGGGACAGUAGAAAAUCGGUGACGAGAAUUCAUGUCUUUGAACAUCCAUGGAAGUAUUUGAUUUUGUGAAUUUAUGAAUAUUAUGAAUAAAUCGGGAAGAUUCAAAUAUUGAUUCAAGAUGUUAUAUUAAAAAUGUAGGAGAAGCAUUCACUCGACUUCUCAAGAGCUCGUAUAGUAGGAGCUUAAGGAGGGAUUGCAGGAGGGGCACAACAACAACAAGGAAGAGCGAGUUGAGCUUCUGCAGCUGGUAGGUGAUUCAUCACCUUAUUUUGUAAUUAUUAGUUUUUCUUAAAUAUUUAUGUUGUGUGUUUAAUUGAUGUUAAAAGAAUGAAACAAAUGAAUAAGUUGAGUGAUUAUUACAAAUGAGAAUUAUUGGUAAUUUAAGAGAAAUUACCGAAAUUAUUUGGCUAACAAAAGAGGUUAGCCGGGUGCUGGGUAAUUCGUAUGGAAUUACCGGAUUGAUUGUGGCAACCAAGACGGGUUAGCCAGAUUUCUUGGGUAAUUAAGAGAAUUACCGGGUUUAUUUGUUAACAAGGAAGUUAACUGGAUAUGGGGUAAUUCAUAUGGAAUUACUAGAUUGAUUGGCUAACAAAAAAAAAGGUUAGCCGGAUGUUGUGUGGAAUUACCGGAUUAAUUGGCUAACAAAAAAAAAGGUUAGCCGGAUGUUGUGUGGAAUUACCGGAUUAAUUGGCUAACAAAAAAGGUUAGCCGGAUGCUAGGUAAUUCGUAUGGAAUUACCGGAUUGAAUUUGGCAACCAAGAUGGGGUGGCCAGAUUUCUUGGGUAAUUAAGAAAAUUACCGGGUUUAUUGGUUAACAAGGAAGUUAACUGGAUAUGGGGUAAUUCGUAUGGAAUUACCGGAUUGAUUGGCUAACAAAAGAGGUUAGCCGGAUGUUAGGUAAUUCGUAUGGAAUUACUGGAUUAAUUGGCUAACAAAAAAAAAGGUUAGCCGGAUGUUGUGUGGAAUUACCGGAUUAAUUGGCUAACAAAAGAGGUUAGCCGGAUGCUAGGUAAUUCGUAUGGAAUUACCGGAUUGACUUUGGCAACCAAGAUGGGGUGGCCAGAUUUCUUGGGUAAUUAAGAAAAUUACCGGGUUUAUUGGUUAACAAGGAAGUUAACUGGAUAUGGGGUAAUUCGUAUGGAAUUACAGGAUUGAUUGACUAACAAAAUAAGUUAGCUGGAGGCUGGGCAAUUCGUAUGGAAUUACCAGAUGUACUGGUAACUAAAGAAGGUUAACCAAAUGUGUGGGUAAUUAUAUGAAAUUACCAGAAUUAUUGGCAAUUGAGAUGAGUUAGCCGGAUAGUUAAGUUUUGAAAAGAUUAUGUGAAUUAAUUGAUUGAAGUUUGAAGUAGUAAAUUCUAAAUGUUAUGAGUAAAAUAAUUAAUAUAUGACUAAGAUAUUGAGUAAAUUAAUUAAUGUGGUUAUUGGGUGGACACAAUGAUUUGGAGAUUGGAGGGGAAUUGAUAGAUAAUUGAUUACCAUAGUGUUGGUGGCUAAGGAUACAUUACAGUGAUACUUAACACCAUAAUGAUGGUGGCUAAGGGCAUAAAUUGAUACUUGGCACUGUGAUGAGGGUGACGAAGGUUAUGUGAAGGAUGCUUAGUGGCCGUAGUGUCGAUAACUAAGAUUGUGUGCAAAUGAUACUUGGCAACAGUGGUUACAAUGCAUAUGAUGUUAAUAAGAAAAAAUGAAAGGGAUUCGGUAUGAAUGGAAGAAUCAAAUGGCAUGGAUUAACUAUCCAGGUUUGGAUUGCUAAUGGUAUCGAGGAGGUUUCAUUGGUGCUGGUAUUUUUUAAAUUGAUUAGUCUAACCCAAUAUUAAAAGACUAAUGAUACUAAUGAGAUUUAUUAGUUCGGCGAUUACCUUCUAGCAACAGAUUUAGAAAAGGAAAAAUAUUGAUUAAUUAUUCCAAAAGAAUGAGAUAAACUAAUGAUACCAAGAGAGGAAUAUCUUGGUAUCAAAUGAGAAUUGAUUUAUAAGGAGAUGGUGUUUGCAAACCGUUGAGUUGUGUUGAGAUUUUCGAGAUGGAAUUAUUCUUGGCAAAUAAGAUAGGAUAUUAGAUGGAUAUUGGUAAUAGAUGAAAAAUAUAUGUUGUAAAAGAGGUUUAUGCCUAAUUUUAUAUAUAAAAAGAAAUUCCGUAGAGAUUAUUGUCUGCCAUUGUUAUUGCUUGUUACUAUCUUUUAUAUUUAUGUGUACAUGUUAGUUUCUAUUUUCAGGUCCAUCAGGGUUGCGUCAAGGGUAAUACUAGUUUAGUUAUCUUUUGCUUUUGACCAUGUAAAUUAUUUGUAAAUUAAAAGACUUAUUUCCUAAAACUUGAGAUGUAAUAUUAAUCCGUAAUUUUGAAUGUAUAUCUUUAAUCUAAUGGUUGAAACUCUUAGUACCUUUUUGACCAUG